GACGAACGCUGGCGGCGUGCUUAACACAUGCAAGUCGAACGGUGAAGCGCCUUCCUUUUUGGUGGGUGUGGAUGAGUGGCGAACGGGUGAGUAACACGUGAGUAACCUGCCCCUUCUUCUGGAUAACCGCAUGAAAGUGUGGCUAAUACGGGAUAUUCUGGGUCUGUCGCAUGAUGGGUCUGGGAAAGAUAUUGUUUCGGUGGGGGAUGGGCUCGCGGCCUAUCAGCUUGUUGGUGGGGUGAUGGCCUACCAAGGCGGUGACGGGUAGCCGGCCUGAGAGGGUGGACGGUCGCACGGGGACUGAGACACGGUCCAGACUCCUACGGGAGGCAGCAGUGGGGAAUAUUGCACAAUGGGCGCAAGCCUGAUGCAGCGACGCCGCGUGAGGGAUGGAGGCCUUCGGGUUGUGAACCUCUUUCGCCAGUGAAGCAGGCCUGCCUCGUUUGUGGGUGGGUUGACGGUAGCUGGAGAAGAAGCGCCGGCUAACUACGUG
This 493-nucleotide ribosomal RNA is filed under the name uncultured bacterium. RNAcentral's name for it is "partial 16S ribosomal RNA". It matches the Rfam family "Bacterial small subunit ribosomal RNA", at positions 28 to 507 of the family's 1533-position model. The record is from RNAcentral.